This 390-nucleotide long non-coding RNA is filed under the name Setaria viridis. RNAcentral's name for it is "long non-coding RNA (SVIR_LNC003651)". The record is from RNAcentral. Lineage: Eukaryota; Viridiplantae; Streptophyta; Magnoliopsida; Poales; Poaceae.
GGGGGGGUCGUACGAACUUAAGAGGAGGUCACUCAGGAAGAGGCUCUGAAGUAAACACAAUACCGUACUGUUGGUUGCAUGGGAAAAACAGAGGUCAUUGGACAAAUGAGUGUAGAGCAGCACUAGAGGCGAGAGAAAAAGAAGCCGCAAAGCAAAGAGAAGCAGAAGAGCAGGUGAAGAUAGUGAACCACACUUCGUCCACUUUUCAGUCAGCUGCUUACAGCUCCACGCCAAAUUGGCACUCAUAUCAACAACCAAAUUACUUCGCACAAGGUUUUUAUCCACCUCCUCCACAGUACAGUCAAAUGAGACCGCCUAUCCCAGUUUAGCAUCAAAAUUACAAUAUACCGAAGCCACUUAAGAUAGACCCACCACAACAAAUGCCUUUGC